CAGGUAUGCCAUAAGGUGCCAUUAUUCACUCUGGUUAUUGGCCUUACAAUUUAAUGCAGGUGCUUCUCUGUCGUAAUGGUUCUCUGUCGUACUGAUACCAAUAGAUGGGAGUGUCCCCUGUUGCUGCUUGUAUUGAAAGGAUCUCUUUCGCUGACUGUUCCUACUGCCCCUUAGUGACUGACACCCUAACAGGUGCUUCUCUGUCGUACUGAUACCAAUAGAUGGGAGUGUCCCCUGUUGCUGCUUGUAUUGAAAGGAUCUCUUUCGCUGACUGUUCCUACUGCCCCUUAGUGACUGACACCCUAACAGGUGCUUCUCUGUCGUACUGAUACCAAUAGAUGGGAGUGUCCCCUGUUGCUGCUUGUAUUGAAAGGAUCUCUUUCGCUGACUGUUCCUACUGCCCCUUAGUGACUGACACCCUAACAGGUGCUUCUCUGUCGUAAUGGUUCUCUGUCGUACUGAUACCAAUAGAUGGGAGUGUCCCCUGUUGCUGCUUGUAUUGAAAGGAUCUCUAUCGCUGACUGUUCCUACUGCCCCUUAGUGACUGACACC
Long non-coding RNA from Ornithodoros turicata, 552 nucleotides. RefSeq lists it as uncharacterized. The record is from RefSeq and is a predicted model, not a curated record. NCBI's taxonomy places the organism in Eukaryota, Metazoa, Arthropoda, Arachnida, Ixodida, Argasidae. The transcript has 4 exons.